Molecule: ribosomal RNA, 876 nt
Filed under: Ephemerocybe callina var. miionis
Lineage: Eukaryota; Fungi; Basidiomycota; Agaricomycetes; Agaricales; Psathyrellaceae
Description: Tulosesus callinus var. miionis partial large subunit ribosomal RNA
Rfam family: Eukaryotic large subunit ribosomal RNA
Source: RNAcentral
UGAAGCGGGAAAAGCUCAAAUUUAAAAUCUGGUGGUCUUUGGCCAUCCGAGUUGUAAUCUAGAGAAGUGUUACCCGCGUCGGACCGUGUACAAGUCUCCUGGAAUGGAGCGUCAUAGAGGGUGAGAAUCCCGUCUUUGACACGGACCCCCGAGGCUUUGUGGUGCGCUCUCAAAGAGUCGAGUUGUUUGGGAAUGCAGCUCAAAAUGGGUGGUAAAUUCCAUCUAAAGCUAAAUAUUGGCGAGAGACCGAUAGCGAACAAGUACCGUGAGGGAAAGAUGAAAAGAACUUUGGAAAGAGAGUUAAACAGUACGUGAAAUUGCUGAAAGGGAAACGCUUGAAGUCAGUCGCGUUGGCCGGAAAUCAGCCUUCCUUUUGGUUGGUGUACUUUCUGGUUGACGGGCCAGCAUCAGUUUUGACCGGUGGAUAAAGUUGUGAGGAAUGUGGCAUCUUCGGAUGUGUUAUAGCCUCGCUUCGUAUACAUCGAUUGGGACUGAGGAACUCAGCACGCCGAAAGGCCGGGGUUCGCCCACGUUCGUGCUUAGGAUGCUGGCAUAAUGGCUUUAAUCGACCCGUCUUGAAACACGGACCAAGGAGUCUAACAUGCCUGCGAGUGUUUGGGUGGAAAACCCGAGCGCGUAAUGAAAGUGAAAGUCGAGAUCCUUGUCAUGGGGAGCAUCGACGCCCGGACCAGAAGUUUACGGACGGCCCUGCGGUAGAGCAUGUAUGUUGGGACCCGAAAGAUGGUGAACUAUGCCUGAAUAGGGUGAAGCCAGAGGAAACUCUGGUGGAGGCUCGUAGCGAUUCUGACGUGCAAAUCGAUCGUCAAAUUUGGGUAUAGGGGCGAAAGACUAAUCGAACCAUCUAGUAGCUGGUCC